RNAcentral lists this ribosomal RNA (465 nucleotides) under uncultured bacterium. Its description in RNAcentral is "partial 16S ribosomal RNA". It matches the Rfam family "Bacterial small subunit ribosomal RNA", at positions 338 to 795 of the family's 1533-position model. The record is from RNAcentral.
CCUACGGGAGGCAGCAGUAGGGAAUCUUCCACAAUGGGCGAAAGCCUGAUGGAGCAACGCCGCGUGGGUGAAGAAGGUCUUCGGAUCGUAAAACCCUGUUGUUAGAGAAGAAAGUGCGUGAGAGUAACUGUUCACGUUUCGACGGUAUCUAACCAGAAAGCCACGGCUAACUACGUGCCAGCAGCCGCGGUAAUACGUAGGUGGCAAGCGUUAUCCGGAUUUAUUGGGCGUAAAGGGAACGCAGGCGGUCUUUUAAGUCUGAUGUGAAAGCCUUCGGCUUAACCGGAGUAGUGCAUUGGAAACUGGGGAAGUAGAGAGGAGAUGAGGAAAGUGGAACGCAAGGUGGAGCGGUGAAAUGCGUAGAUAUAUGGAAGAACACCAGUGGCGAAAGCGGCUCUCUGAUCUGUAACUGACGCUGAGGUUCGAAAGCGUGGGUAGCAAACAGGAUUAGAUACCCUAGUAGUC